RNAcentral lists this ribosomal RNA (146 nucleotides) under Ophiocordyceps sinensis. Its description in RNAcentral is "5.8S rRNA". It matches the Rfam family "5.8S ribosomal RNA". From Rfam's summary of the family: 5.8S ribosomal RNA (5.8S rRNA) is a component of the large subunit of the eukaryotic ribosome. It is transcribed by RNA polymerase I as part of the 45S precursor that also contains 18S and 28S rRNA. The record is from RNAcentral. Lineage: Eukaryota; Fungi; Ascomycota; Sordariomycetes; Hypocreales; Ophiocordycipitaceae.
AACUUUCAACAACGGAUCUCUUGGCUCUGGCAUCGAUGAAGAACGCAGCGAAAUGCGAUAAGUAAUGUGAAUUGCAGAAUUCAGUGAAUCAUCGAAUCUUUGAACGCACAUUGCGCCCGCCAGUAUUCUGGCGGGCAUGCCUGUUC